This is a long non-coding RNA of Dermacentor albipictus, 2042 nucleotides long. RefSeq lists it as uncharacterized. Lineage: Eukaryota; Metazoa; Arthropoda; Arachnida; Ixodida; Ixodidae. The record is from RefSeq and is a predicted model, not a curated record.
GCAGACUUCCUGUGUGAUCUCCCGCGGAGCGUUCGUGCGUUCCACUGGCAGACUCGGAUUGGUGAAAGCCGAGCGCUCGCUCGAGGAUUCAGGCGGCUGCUCCAGAUCGACCAGUGAAAAACGCCAUACACCCAUGCCCGAUAGUGGUACCACAGAGCAUAGCGUGUACUCCUUCGAACGCGACAAAGAAAGCUUCACUAAGCGAGGCGUCACAACAACAGCCAAAAACAUGCUAAAGCCCUGGAACAACGGCGGUAAACGAGUAUCUAAACGCGAGUGGCAUUCUUGCUUUCGUUGCGCCUGUGAAACCUGACAGCGGUGGCAGCAUGUCGUCCGAUCCGCUUUCAACUGAACGCUCGCCGACUGAUGCGGAAGAAGCGGUUUGCCUGUUUCGCACGGGCAAUCGAAGAAAAUCGUGAAGCUCACAGGCGCCUGGAAACUCGCCGACCUCCGCGAAAGCCUGCUGACAGGAGGGUUCGCGUACCUGGUGACAGGCAGCGAUCUUCUAAUACAGAUAUUCAACGACCGGUUCCAGUACUACGUCGACAUGGGGGAAAGCACAACAGUGUAUGAUGGAGCACUGAUUAACUUGGUUGUCUCCCCAAGUGACUCCAAAGCAUCAGAGGCACCAAAAAAGCCGCUGUCUGGUAGUGCAGUUGAACAUGUGGAGAAUGCAGUCAAAGGACAGUACAAGGAAUUGUCAACAUACACACUGCCUACGAUGCCCAUUGACAUUGCUGCACACCUCUGAAGGAGACGUGCCUGACAGUCUUCAAAAGAAAAUUGAAUGGAUUGCCUACAAUUCGUCAUCUCAGACAAUGUACCCAAAUAAAUUGUGCAAUGUUGCUGCAAGGAGCCUCGUAAACCAGUACCUAGCGCUGAGGGACACAUUGGACCUUGGCCAUUCCUCAUGGUAUAUGUGCCUAAGAAACAAGUACAAAAACAUGCGAAAGUGAAUGCCACCAGGAUGCCCUGAUGUCAAUGCAGAAGUGAAAGCAAGAAAGGCAAGCGAAAGUUGUGACACAUGCUAAAAAUCUGGAUUUCGAAGACAGGACGUCUUUGUUGGUGUUGCCGCAUUACCAAGCCCUGGGCGCUUCUGCAUUCGGUCCUGGAAAUUCCAUGGUGGAGGCCGCUAGUUCUUUGAAGCAGCAAAAGAGCACUUAUCAGCAUCUUCACUCCUCAACAUGCUGCUGAAGCCACCAACCAGUCACUUCAGCAUGACAGCAUCAACAGGCUACAAUAUACACGAGGCAUUGCAACCGUUCAUCUCGUCAUUGUGCAGGUUGACCAUCAAAACAGAGUGGGCAGGUGUCACAAAGUGCGUGCCCGCGUCCCCCUCGAGAGGGUCGCCAUUGCCGCCGCAGCCGCAACGCUGCUUGCACGGCGAUGGGGAACAGGGCUCCCCAUUAUUCCCAAGCUCGCCGCACCGGUGGGUCACGUGGGACGCCGGGAGCUUGACGAGGGACGAGGCGGCUUGGCGAGCGGGCAGAGAGGUUUGGAAGACGGAGCAGCGUGGUCAUGCACCGGGAGACAGCUGAAGAUGUGGUCGGCAGGUUGAAAUCUCCAGGCCGAAUCCUUUGCCGGUCGAUCGACAGACGGUGCAAGUCCGUCAAGAUCUUUGGCAGCGAGGUACCGGCAGCCCGAUGCUCUUCAGAUCGGGAUCUCGGCAAGCACGCCACAGAUAAGCCUCGUGUUCCAGCCCACUCUCAGAACUUUCCGCCGGACUCUCUUUUUUUGAUCGCGUUUCAUCUUUCAUCUAAUCAUUCGUCGCAUGUUAAUUCUUGUAUGUUCAGCUAGAGUAGUGUUUGCUGCGUUUAUUGUCGCGUCUAUUUUUCAUUUGUGUCACAUAUUUUUUUUUUAUUUCGCGAGUGUUAGUAGUUCCCUCUUGGUGGGCUUUGUGUCGCACGUUGCGUCAGGGCGCGUGUUGUGUGUGACCAGCACGCGCUCCGUGAAGCUAAGGCCAACUGCUUGUAUUUUGUGUAUUCUUUUUUUCAUUAUGCCUCGGGCAUGAUUUAACUUAAUAAAUCGAGCGUAUGUUUGUA